CAAACAGCUGCCGACUCUAAUUUGCUGCUUCAUCAGUCAUGUCUGGGACUCCAGUUUCUCCUAUAGCUUCAUCCAAUGACCAAAAAUUAUUACACUUUAGAUCGUCCCAAGUUCUUGAAAUACAACCCCCAACAUAUGAGUAAUAUUCUCUAGACAUUUUCAUAAUGCGUUAAAAACUGGACAUAACAAUCAAAAACAAAAGGUUUCAAAUGGUCAUGUAAAUAUUUUUCUUACCUUACUUAACUCAU
Molecule: long non-coding RNA, 248 nt
Filed under: Gossypium raimondii (Peruvian cotton)
Lineage: Eukaryota; Viridiplantae; Streptophyta; Magnoliopsida; Malvales; Malvaceae
Description: long non-coding RNA (GRAI_LNC007137)
Source: RNAcentral